AACGAACGCUGGCGGCAGGCUUAACACAUGCAAGUCGAGCGCCCCGCAAGGGGAGCGGCAGACGGGUGAGUAACGCGUGGGAACAUACCCUCCGGUUCGGAAUAACUCAGGGAAACUUGAGCUAAUACCGGAUACGGUCGAGAGGCGAAAGAUUUAUCGCCGGAGGAUUGGCCCGCGUCCGAUUAGCUAGUUGGUGUGGUAAUGGCGCACCAAGGCGACGAUCGGUAGCUGGUCUGAGAGGAUGAUCAGCCACAUUGGGACUGAGACACGGCCCAAACUCCUACGGGAGGCAGCAGUGGGGAAUAUUGGACAAUGGGCGCAAGCCUGAUCCAGCCAUGCCGCGUGAGUGAUGAAGGCCUUAGGGUUGUAAAGCUCUUUCGCCCAC
RNAcentral lists this ribosomal RNA (385 nucleotides) under uncultured bacterium. RNAcentral's name for it is "bacterial SSU rRNA". It matches the Rfam family "Bacterial small subunit ribosomal RNA", at positions 29 to 443 of the family's 1533-position model. The record is from RNAcentral.